CGACAAAGUGCAGGUGGAGGUUUUGGGCGGCUGCUCCAGGAUGGAUUCACGUCGCAGGUCGUUGGCUGCACGCCUUUAACCGUGGAGAAGGCCCCGACAUCGUCGAUGUUCUUGGCAUAAACUGUCUUGGAGUCUGGCACGAAUGGCGGCGUAAGAAUACCUGAGGAGACACAAGAGGGCGCAGACGUCAAGACACAAACAGACAAGCCUACAAGAUGGACAAUUAUCCCAUGCACCCAAUGACAGAGACACAUGAAUGUAUCAGCAUCUGAAGGUUGUAG
Molecule: long non-coding RNA, 281 nt
Organism: Thunnus maccoyii (southern bluefin tuna)
Lineage: Eukaryota; Metazoa; Chordata; Actinopteri; Scombriformes; Scombridae
Exons: 3
Source: RefSeq, a predicted model, not a curated record